AAGCAUGAGCAACCUUGGAUAGAUUUUAUAAGGAAGGAUACCUACAUUUUUUUCUAGUUGAAUGAUCUAAUCAUGAUGUUGGAACGAAGUUGACAGGUCUGAAUGCUCUAGAGAGUUCAAACUCUGAUUUGAAAUGAGCAACCAGAAAAAAGUCGCCUAUCUUAGAGAUUCACCAUAAGUGCUUAGGUACACAAACUCCUUCCAG
RNAcentral lists this long non-coding RNA (205 nucleotides) under Lupinus angustifolius (narrow-leaved blue lupine). RNAcentral describes it as "long non-coding RNA (LANG_LNC002190)". The record is from RNAcentral. Lineage: Eukaryota; Viridiplantae; Streptophyta; Magnoliopsida; Fabales; Fabaceae.